CACGUAGGCGGGUCCUUAAGUCGGGGUGAAAUCCUGGAGCUCAACUCCAGAACUGCCUUCGAUACUGAGGAUCUCGAGUCCGGGAGAGGUGAGUGGAACUCCGAGUGUAGAGGUGAAAUUCGUAGAUAUUCGGAAGAACACCAGUGGCGAAGGCGGCUCACUGGCCCGGUACUGACGCUGAGGUGCGAAAGCGUGGGGAGCAAACA
This 206-nucleotide ribosomal RNA is filed under the name uncultured bacterium. RNAcentral's name for it is "partial 16S ribosomal RNA". It matches the Rfam family "Bacterial small subunit ribosomal RNA", at positions 568 to 774 of the family's 1533-position model. The record is from RNAcentral.